GAUGAACGCUGGCGGCGUGCCUAAUACAUGCAAGUCGAGCGAGCAGACGAGGAGCUUGCUCCUCUGACGUUAGCGGCGGACGGGUGAGUAACACGUGGAUAACCUACCUAUAAGACUGGGAUAACUUCGGGAAACCGGAGCUAAUACCGGAUAAUAUAUUGAACCGCAUGGUUCAAUAGUGAAAGACGGUUUUGCUGUCACUUAUAGAUGGAUCCGCGCCGCAUUAGCUAGUUGGUAAGGUAACGGCUUACCAAGGCAACGAUGCGUAGCCGACCUGAGAGAGUGAUCGGCCACACUGGAACUGAGACACGGUCCAGACUCCUACGGGAGGCAGCAGUAGGGAAUCUUCCGCAAUGGGCGAAAGCCUGACGGAGCAACGCCGCGUGAGUGAUGAAGGUCUUCGGAUCGUAAAACUCUGUUAUUAGGGAAGAACAAAUGUGUAAGUAACUAUGCACGUCUUGACGGUACCUAAUCAGAAAGCCACGGCUAACUACGUGCCAGCCGCCGCAGUAA
RNAcentral lists this ribosomal RNA (513 nucleotides) under uncultured bacterium. Its description in RNAcentral is "partial 16S ribosomal RNA". It matches the Rfam family "Bacterial small subunit ribosomal RNA", at positions 28 to 523 of the family's 1533-position model. The record is from RNAcentral.